UCCUAGCUGUUUGAGAGAUGUCACCACACUGGAGUGAGACACGUCCAGACUCUUACGGGAGCAGCAGUGGGAAUAUGCACAAUGGCGCAAGCUUAUGCAGCCUGCCGCGUGUUGAAGAAGCCUUCGGGUUGUAAGUAUUUCAGUCUGAGGAAGGGUUGUUUUUAUACCUGAUAUCUUGACGUUACUAACAGAAGAAGCACCGGCUAACUCCGUGCCAGCAGCCGCGGUAAUACGGAGGGUGCGAGCGUUAUUCGGAAUUACUGGGCGUAAAGCGCACGCAGGCGGUCAUUAAGUCAGAUGUGAAAGCCCGGGGCUCAACCUGGGAACUGCAUUUGAAACUGGCAAACUAGAGUACUGUAGAGGGUGGUAGAAUUUCAGGUGUAGCGGUGAAAUGCGUAGAGAUCUGAAGGAAUACCAGUGGCGAAGGCCGCCCCCCGGACUGAUAAUUACAGUUCGUGUAGAAAAGCUUGGGAACCAACCGGGUUAAAUUCCCUGGUUGUUCCAGCCCUUAAAGAAGUUUUAUUAGAAGCUGUGACCCUCAGCUGUGUCUUUCGGAGCUAACGCAUUAAGUAGACCGCCUGGGGAGUACGGUCGCAAGAUUAAAACUCAAAUGAAUUGACGGGGGCCCGCACAAGCGGUGGAGCAUGUGGUUUAAUUCGAUGCAACGCGAAGAACCUUACCUACUCUUCACAUACAGAGAACUCACCAGAGAUGCUUGUGUGCCUUCGGGAACUCUGAGACAGGUGCUGCAUGGCGGUCGUCAGCUCUUGUUGUGAGAUGUUGGGUUAAGUCCCGCAACGAGCGCAACCCUUAUCCUUAUUUGCCAGCAGGUAAUGUUGGGAACUCUAAGGAGACUGCCGGUGAUAAACCGGAGGAAGGUGGGGACGACGUCAAGUCAUCAUGGCCCUUACGUGUAGGGCUACACACCUGCUACAAUGGCGCAUACAGAGGGCUGCCAACUCGCGAGGGUAAGCGAAUCCCAAAAAAUGCGUCGUAGUCCGGAUUGGAGUCUGCAACUCGACUCCAUGAAGUCG
This 1034-nucleotide ribosomal RNA is filed under the name uncultured bacterium. RNAcentral's name for it is "bacterial SSU rRNA". It matches the Rfam family "Bacterial small subunit ribosomal RNA", at positions 281 to 1328 of the family's 1533-position model. The record is from RNAcentral.